AUGCUUAACUGACAGGGAAGUUACCAUGAUUACAAAGGUAGCUUUCCAAGGCUGAAGCUUAUUCACUGAAUUCCAGAUGUGCUGGUCACUGUGAUUUCCCCAAAUGUGAGAAAUUCAUCUGCAUAAUUUGUGGCAGAUUGAGAUUGUGUUCAUGGUUUCCUC
This is a small nuclear RNA of Octodon degus (degu), 162 nucleotides long. Its record names the gene U1. It matches the Rfam family "U1 spliceosomal RNA". From Rfam's summary of the family: U1 is a small nuclear RNA (snRNA) component of the spliceosome (involved in pre-mRNA splicing). Its 5' end forms complementary base pairs with the 5' splice junction, thus defining the 5' donor site of an intron. NCBI's taxonomy places the organism in Eukaryota, Metazoa, Chordata, Mammalia, Rodentia, Octodontidae. The record is from Ensembl.